RNAcentral lists this long non-coding RNA (377 nucleotides) under Vigna radiata. RNAcentral describes it as "long non-coding RNA (VRAD_LNC011874)". Lineage: Eukaryota; Viridiplantae; Streptophyta; Magnoliopsida; Fabales; Fabaceae. The record is from RNAcentral.
UAUUUGCAUGCCAUAAUUCUUCUUUCUUUCCAAAACUGAGAGAACUUAGCUUAUUUUUCGGAAUUAGAGAUCCAACCUUCAAGAGUUGCAGGACGAGAAGCACGAGGGCGUGAGAAAGAAGAAAUGUAUGAAAAUGAGAGAAAAGCUUGAUAGAGUUUGAUUUUGGCAGAGUUUGGGCGCAAGUGGAGGUUUUUAAUCGAUUAUGGGUUAGUACUUAAAGAGAAGAUUGAAAAACUAGCCGUUUAUGACUGUUUAUAGUCGUUUCAGACUGUUAUAACGACUAAUUUUUUUGAACCAGUGUUGACUGAUAAUCUAUUAUCACUAAUGAGAAUUAAUUAUUGGUUCAAAAAAAUUUCCCAAAUAGUCGCUGAUAAUCG